This 253-nucleotide ribosomal RNA is filed under the name uncultured bacterium. RNAcentral's name for it is "partial 16S ribosomal RNA". It matches the Rfam family "Bacterial small subunit ribosomal RNA", at positions 524 to 776 of the family's 1533-position model. The record is from RNAcentral.
UACGUAGGGUCCGAGCGUUGUCCGGAAUUACUGGGCGUAAAGCGCGCGCAGGCGGCCCGCGAGGUGUCACGUGAAAGCCCCGGGCUCAACCCGGGAGGGUCGUGGCAAACCGGCGGGCUUGAGGCCGGUAGAGGUGGGUGGAACUCCUGGUGGAGUGGUGAAAUGCGUAGAGAUCGGGAGGAACACCUGUGGCGAAGGCGGCCCCCUGGGCCGGCCCUGACACUGAGACGCGAAGGCGUGGGGAGCGAACGGG